Molecule: ribosomal RNA, 254 nt
Filed under: uncultured bacterium
Lineage: Bacteria
Description: partial 16S ribosomal RNA
Rfam family: Bacterial small subunit ribosomal RNA
Source: RNAcentral
UACAGAGGGGGCGAAGCGUUAUUCGGAAUUAUUGGGCGUAAAGGGCGCGUAGGCGGCAUGGCAAGUGGAUGGUGAAAUCCCUCGGCUUAACCGAGGAACUGCCGUCCAAACUGCUUCGCUUGAGACCGGGAGAGGUGAGUGGAAUUCCCAGUGUAGCGGUGAAAUGCGUAGAUAUCGAGAGGAACACCAGUGGCGAAGGCGAGUCCCUGGACACUUCCUGACACUGAGGCACGAAAGCUAGGGGAGCAAACAGG